AGUGAUAAACUCCGAGAAGCUCACGACCUGCUGUGUGAGAAAGAUGCUCAGAUCGAGGAGAUCCUCAGGCAGAAGCUGCAAAAUUUUUCCAACCUGUCAGAGGUUCCCAUGGAGAACCCCACUACAGCAAGACGCCUGCUGCUGCAAGGUUCUGCGCCUGAGCUCCAGCAGGGGGAGCUGUUAAUUAACAAGGCCAUCAUACAUGCUGAGGCUUUACAGAUGCAGCUGAUGGAUGGAGAGAUGAACUUUAUCUCUGUCUGGAGAGAGUGAUGUCGAGCUGCGCAGAAAAUCACUAACUCUGCCUGCAUACAACAGAAUGAAAAGAAGUGCUGAUGGAUUUCGGUCCAGAGAUCAGAGACCGAACUCAGAUCCUCAUCUCAGAGACCUUUACCUUGAGCCCCUGGAGUUAUCUGCUGAUGAUGAGACUGCUCCACUUUUUCUCCUCCAGCAUGCGCCUUCAGAGCUGAGUGGAUUGAGGCUGCAGAUAAACUGAUACGGACGCUGUACAGUCUGAAGGCGCUGGUGUCUCAGCAGGACAGCGAGUUGGAGGUUCUGCGUGCAGUUCAGUUGGAGCAUGAGCGUUCGUCCCGUCAGCGUUACAGCUCCAUCCAGGAUCAGGAGCGACAGCGGCACCUGGAGAAGCAGCGUGAGGAGCUCCUCCACCUGCAGAAGGUCCAUACGCAGCAGCGGCAGGAGCAGGAGGAGUGGGCUCGCGAGCGUCAGCGCCACCUGCUGGAGAUGCACAGGCGCGAGCAGGAGCUGAGCCGCCGCAUGGACGAGUACACCAACAAGGAGGCGUGGCUCUGUGCCGAGAGGACGUCCUGCACCGCAGCCGGGAGGAGUACCAGCAGGACCUGGAGCGUCUGAGGGACAGCACUCGCAUUGUGGAGAAGGAGAAGGAGAAACUGGAGCAGGAUAUCAAGAGAUUCAGAAAACACAAGAACCUCACCAAUCUGGGUGGAGCCUCAACCUGGGCGGGGCCUCACAUCAGGACAGCGCACAGCUGGUUGUUCCAUAUUCAUCAGCUGACGAUAGGCUUGGCAGAUCUCCGGUACAGCCCAGUCUGCCUCAGGAGCGCCCUCCAGUGGUCCCUCCUCGCAAAGAGAGCAUGAGUGUCUCGGCGAGCGUCAAAGCAGAUGUUCC
Ictalurus punctatus (channel catfish) is the source of this 1143-nucleotide long non-coding RNA. The record is from Ensembl. Lineage: Eukaryota; Metazoa; Chordata; Actinopteri; Siluriformes; Ictaluridae.